AGUGAACGCUGGCGGUAUGCCUAACACAUGCAAGUCGAACGGCAGCACAGUAAGAUCUUGCUCUUACGGGUGGCGAGUGGCGGACGGGUGAGGAAUACAUCGGAAUCUACUUUUUCGUGGGGGAUAACGUAGGGAAACUUACGCUAAUACCGCAUACGACCUACGGGUUAAAGCAUUGGAUCUUCGGACCUUGCGCGAUUGAAUUAGCCGAUGUCGGAUUAGCUAGUUGGCGGGGUAAAGGCCCACCAAGGCGACGAUCCGUAGCUGGUCUGAGAGGAUGAUCAGCCACACUGGAACUGAGACACGGUCCAGACUCCUACGGGAGGCAGCAGUGGGGAAUAUUGGACAAUGGGCGCAAGCCUGAUCCAGCCAUACCGCGUGGGUGAAGAAGGCCUUCGGGUUGUAAAGCCCUUUUGUUGGGAAAGAAAAGCAGCAGGUUAAUACCCCGCUGUUCUGACGGUACCCAAAGAAUAAGCACCGGCUAACUUCGUG
This 492-nucleotide ribosomal RNA is filed under the name uncultured bacterium. RNAcentral's name for it is "partial 16S ribosomal RNA". It matches the Rfam family "Bacterial small subunit ribosomal RNA", at positions 29 to 507 of the family's 1533-position model. The record is from RNAcentral.